AUGCCUCACCCUGCUUUGGCUCGCGCACGGUGCGCGCACCCACUGACCUGUGCCCACUGUCUGGCACUCCCUAGUGAGAUGAACCCGGUACCUCAGAUGGAAAUGCAGAAAUCACCCGUCUUCUGCGUCGCUCACGCUGGGAGCUGUAGACCGGAGCUGUUCCUAUUCGGCCAUCUUGGCUCCUCAGGCAACCUCUUUUCUUUAUAAAUUACUCAAUCUCGGGUAUUUCUUCAUAGCAGCAUGAGAAUGGACUAAUACAAAGUCCUUUGGCUGGAGGCAACAGGAAAAAUUCUGACUAUCAUUUCCCAUGCUACCCCUCACCUUUCAAAUCCUUUACAAUAUGGGGAGCAGGAGAAAGGCAGAUCUUACUUGAGAGGACCGUGAGGGGAGCAAGGUCGAGAGUCCACAUGGAACCCCAAAAACUAGGAGAGCUAGAACAAGGACAUUUGGUAAGAAGCUCGUGGUUGGAGGUGUACGGGAGAUUUCUUGGGAUGGGACCUCCAGUAAAAGAGUGGGCAACAAGAGCAGCAGGCUUGAAUUAGAGACGAUAAAUAUGGCAUUUAAAUGAAUGAUUAGUAGACAAGGAAUGAGUAAAGGGGAUACAAAAAGAAAAAUUACUGUCAUGUGAUGUGUGAUCCAUGAUACCGUCAUAGUUUUGUUUUGCUGUGCUCCACCUUCAUACCUUCGCCUAUGUUAGAACUUCUGAGAAGCUGAAGCAU
This 719-nucleotide long non-coding RNA is filed under the name Homo sapiens (human). RNAcentral's name for it is "HSALNT0137921". Lineage: Eukaryota; Metazoa; Chordata; Mammalia; Primates; Hominidae. The record is from RNAcentral.